Molecule: long non-coding RNA, 6596 nt
Filed under: Canis lupus familiaris (dog)
Lineage: Eukaryota; Metazoa; Chordata; Mammalia; Carnivora; Canidae
Description: lncRNA (ENSCAFG00000056519.1)
Source: RNAcentral
UUUUUUUUUUUUUUAAUUAUUUUUUUUUUAUUAGAUACUUACAGACCUACUUUUAAAAAACAUGUCCUGGAAAUAAAAAGGCAAGUUUUGUUUUGAGAGUUUUUUGUUUUGGCAGGGGGAGAGGUUGGUUUGGUGAUGUUGUUACACUCUGAGACUAAGAACCAACUAGUCUUUGCUUGAAAUGGGUGUAAUUGAGGUACCAUAUUUAGCAAAUAGAAAUGCAAGGUGCCCAGUUAAAUUGGAAUUUCAGAUAAACAAUGAAGCAUUUUUUCCCCAUAAGUAUGCUCCAAAUAUUGUGUGGAAUGUACUUAUAGCCAAAAACGAUGUGUUGUUUAUUUGAAAUUGAAAUUUACCUGGGUGUUCUGUACUUUAUGUGGUAACCUUGGUGUAGUACCUUGCCAGAGACAGGGUCUGCUCUGCUCCACCAAGCUCCAGGGAAGUGAAGCCACCAUCCUCUGGCAUCCUGUAGUUUCAACUGACUGCAUCGCACUGUGGCGAGUUUGAAGAGCAUCGGGAGUUAAUAGAAGAGAAAGCAGCUGGUGUGCUCCAGUUUGCCUCCAACUCUUAUUCCCUCGGCCUGCCAGAGAACUGAUCUAGAAACUGAAAUUUCAUUCCUGGUCAGUUCCAGAUCAUCUGUUCUGUGAGCUUUAGUUUACACUGCAGUCUUAGCAUCAGUAAGUGCUACCAGCCUUAAAUUUUUUUUUCCUUUAAAAAAAGUCCACUUGGGGCAGCCCCGGUGGCGCAGCAGUUUAGUGCCGCCUGCAGCCCGGGGCAUGAUCCUGGAGACCCUGGAUCGAGUCCCGCGUUGGGCUCUCUGCAUGGAGCCUGCUUCUCCCUCUGCCUGUGUCUCUGGCUCUCUCUCUCUCUCUCUCUCUCUGUGUCUCUAUGAAUAAAUAAAUAAAAUCUUUAAGAACAAAAAAAAUUAAAAAUUUAAAAAAUUUAAAAAGUCCACUUGGGGGCUCUGCCCCAGGCUGAGGACCCUGUGUCUCUGGCAGCCAAAUGGCUUCUGAGGCGAGUAAGGAGGCAGCUUUUUCCUGGAACAGUUACUGGCACCUCCUCCUCAUUUUCAGAGCUCGUGAAUCGGGAGAAAUUGAGCAACCUUCCCAAAGGGAUGCUCUGCACGGGUGUCUCAGCAACCCAGUGACUGUUUCUGUGCGUAUGUUGUUGGGGCCAGUACCAGCUACUAAGUAGAGUCUGGUUAUACGAAUUUAUACAAUCGGAUCGUGUUAAAGCAGGAAGGGCCCCAGAGAUGUGGCCUCUGCCUCUGAAAUCACGAUGAGACCGAGACACAGGUGUGCAAGACAGGUGCCCUGAGAAACAGGAGGAGCCAGGAUCCUCCCUAAUCCUGGGCCUCCUCCCUCCGACAUGCUGCCCGUCUCUGCCUUGGGUGAUCAGGUUUGUCACUUUGCUGAAUUCUUCUGUUUGCUUUUAAUUGACAUGUAACUGACACACAACGUUCUGUUAGUUUCCAAUAUACAGCAUCGUGUGUUGAUAUUUUUAUACGUUACAAAUGCACAAUGUGAUCACUCUGACGGAUCUGGAUAACUCACUGUCCCCAUCCACGGGUACUACUGUAUUAGUGACUGUGUUCCCUGUGCCGUACGUUAUACCCCCACGACUGACUGAUUUUAUAACCGGAAGGUUGUACUCUUCAUCCCCUUCAGCUGCCCGUCCCACACCCACCCUCCUCCUCUCUGACAACCACUGGUUUGUUCUCUGUGUUUAUGAGUCUGUUUCUGAUUUGUUCUGUUUUUUAGAUUCCACACAGAAGUGAAAUCGUACAGUGAUUGUCUUUGAGUUACAGAGCCUAAUAUCCUCUAGGUCCAUCCAUGUUGUUGCAGAUGGCAGGAUUUCAUUUUUUUUUUUUAAGAUUUUAUUUAUUCAUAAGAAACAGAGAGGCAGAGACACAGGCAGAGGGAGAAGCAGGCCCCAUGUAGGGAGCCCGACGCGGGACUCUGUCCUGGGUCUCCAGGAUCAUGCCCUGGGUCGAAGGCAGACACUCAACCACUGAGCAAUCCAGGCUGCCCUGGAUUUCAUUCUUUUUCUCCAGACCCCAGAUAACACGGACCUUCCACUUCCUCCAGAGGCGAAAUACUAUAAAAUAGUCUCUUGGGGCACCUGGUUGGCUCAGUCGGUUAGGCAUCUGUCUUCAGCUCAGGUUAUGACCCCGGGGUCCUGGGAUCAAGUACUGCAUCGAGCUCCCUGCUUCAUGGGGAUCCUGGUUCUCCCUCUCCCUCUGCCUGCUGCUCCAACCUGCUUGUUUUCUCUCUCUCUAUCUCUCUCUCUCUCUCUGUCAAACUCUUUAAAAAAAGUCUCUUUGAAGAGCAGUUCAGUAAAGAGGGUCAUUAAAACUGUAGACUGGAAAUAAAAGGGAUAAAGUGGAGGUUAUCUGGGAAAAUAUGCUACUUCCUGCUUCAUUAGGAAUUUCCUGAAAGCACGGGCUUUCGGCCAGGGCAAGAGAAUGCAGACUCCUCCCGAAUGGUUUGCGUGCACUUUCACUCAGGUGCUCCCUAGGCUAAGUUUUUCCUUCUCCUUAAAGCUGCGUCCGUGCACCCUGCGUGCCAUGUUUUGUGCUGCACACGUUUUUUCCAGGACCUCCUUUAGUCCUUUGAGCAGCCUUAUGGGAAAGCAUCGUCACCCCUGGUGUUUGGAUGAGAAAACAGACUCAGGGUGAUUGGACUUUGACCCCGCCACUACCAGAUGACAGCUGGGAUCUUGAACUGGAGACCCUGACACCACGUGGUCUCUUCCCUCCAGUCACAGCCAGCUUGUCCUUGUCCUCCCAGGUUAAACAAGACACCUGGAUGUCUCGGGUGGUUCAUUACCGCUCCAGUAGUAGCAGUUGUCCUCAUGGCCUGAGUGUGGUGCUGGCACGUUCUUUUCCUGUGCUUGGUAGUCCUUGGGAAGUCGACUGACAUUCUUAAGCAUUCCAGGUCAUGCUAGCGUUCAGAAUCCUGUGGCACAGUUUAGAGAGUGUCAGGAAGGAGGCUGGCUAAGUAGGGCAGCCAUGCAGCAUGCCACUCGCCCUCCUUGGAAGCUCCAGAAGGAAGCCACGGUCUCUCCCCUCUGAGCUGCUGAUUCACAGCUGGACCCUCAGCCACUCAGGGACCCCUGUCCCCUUUCAGAAUACUGGGUGUUUGAGUGGGGCAUGCGUGUAGGUCAUUUCCAGGCUGUGUGUUUGCUGUCAGAGCCAAGAGUGGCAGGUCCUCCUACCCAGGCUGGUGUUGGUCUGCUCCUGCAGUGGCUUUCUAUGGGCAAGAUGCUGGAGGGAGAGCCAUCAACAAAGGCAGCCCCCGUCUAUGUGGGCUAGUAGGGGAGAAGGUGGUACUUUCGGGACGGCGUGAGGUGGGCAUGCUGCAGAGCAACUGCUGGUGAGCUGAAGCCUGGAGAUGAUGAGCCUUCCCUGAGACCCUGAGCUGGAGAGCAGGGAGUGGAGGGGAAGAGAGGGUCCUGACAAAGAAUCUGGUCAGAGCUGGAAGUUAAGACCCGCAGGGAUAGAGCUGGAAGGUCAGAGUCUGCCGAGGUGCACUGAGCCACAGAAGCACAAGAGGUCAGGUUCCAAGGUGAAGCAGUGAUUCUGGAACGUUCCCUUGAAACGAUGCAUCUUCCUUGGAUUUGUUACCUUGACUACUUGUGGUUCACUUUGGACAAGAAUGAGCUUCCAGAAGCACUUUGUUUUUCACAUGGGGUGGGCUCAGGAGGGAGAUGGAGAGUGAGAUGGAGGUUGGGGCUCCAAGAAGCUAGUCUCAGGUGUGUCUUGGAAGCCGUUUCCUGGAGACGUUGACAAGUCAAGGAAGCAUUUGGCAAGUGUCUAAAUCGGAAAUGACUAAGCCCUGUACCGUGGAAUGUCAGUAAGGAAGGACCGUUAAGCACAAGUGAGCUGCUUAGGUUUUUGCCAAAAAAACACAUUCGUGUUGAUUGAAGUGAAAUAUUUGAUUGACGGGUUAGGAGGAUUGAAAGCAUGAACUGUGCUUCCCUACUUACAGUGGAGUCAUUGUCUCCCCUGAUGCAGCUGGGGGUACCUGCCAGUACACCAGAGAGACUUUCAGCAAGAGCUCGAUAGAACCCGUAUUACUUUACAUUCCUUACAACUCCGUGAGGCAAGUAUUAUACCCAUUCUGCAGAUGGGACACCCAGGGCCUAGAGAAAAUAAGUGACUUGGCCAAGGCUACAGUGGGAGGAAUUAAUUGGAUUGGUGAUUUGAAUGAAAGUCCACUUUGGGCUCACAGCAUCCUGCCACAGGUGGGUGCUUACAGUCCUUGAAGAAUAGACCAUUCUCCGAUGGGCAGCUUCCAAGCGAUGUACUGCCCUGGACCCUUCUUACACCACACCUGGACCACAGAUCCAGGCUUCUUUAUCAUUGUAAGAAGGGAGAGCAUGGAUCUGGGACUUCUUGGAGCUGGGGGUAGUGUGUUUUUUAAUCUCAGGUCUUCAAAGAGAAGUCAUGCGAACGACAAUAAAAACGUCCGUGUACCCUGGAGACCAGGCCUCCUUUCUGCACGUUUUUGCCUCUGCUCUGUAUUUUCCUGAAGAGCUUUUUUUUUUCUCCGUACUCCAGGGGUAUGUUUAUAAAGUGCACACAUGGCAGGAUGCAAAGAUGAAUAAGCAGUGACCCUGACCCCAAGGCCCUCAUAGAUAGGAGAGGUGGAAAUAUUGUGCUAUCUGAAAACAGGCUAUGAUAAACAUAAUCAUUAGGAUUCAAACUAAAUGCUGUGGAAACAACUGGUUUCAUCAGCGCUUGGAACUGGGUGGGGGCAGUUUUCCAGCAGAGAGAGUGUUUAAACAAGCAUGGGAGUGAGUGUGGAGCAUAGGUGGUAGGAGGUGGGAGAGGGCAAAACCACACAGCAUGUUUCUGGAGCACCUGGGGUCAGGCAGGUACGGUCUGGUGGUGGCGCGGGCUUGGCGUGUACGAGAGAUUGGGGGUUCAGGGAGGGUCCAAGUCCCUCUCUGCUGGUGAUGAGACAUUUCGUGAAGGGCUUCUUGAAUUGAAAGGAUCAUUUUGAAGAGCCAAGAACGAGUACUGUGCAUAUUAACUUGCUGUAAAAUGUGCAUCCUAACUGACCAACCCUCGACCCUGUCUGCAUGUUUGUAAGAAAGAAAGGAUUAUACAAAUUCACCACAGAGAGGUACAAAGGGGGUUGAGGGGAGGUUUUCAGAUGCCCCCCAGCAGGCAGACGGUGUGCUUGCCCAGUGCCCCCAGCUGAACUGGGUGUGCUCUGAAAUGCUGCGUGUGGGAGCAUUUUGAAAGUAGAAAUCAUUCCUUUUGUGGUCUGGGCUGUUGCCACGUUUUGCUGGGAGGGCUCAGGGACAGAGAUGAUGACACCUGAGAUUGACCUGGAAUGUCACCUGCCAAGAGCUGCCCUAUCUUCUGUCUCUGGGAGCAGGCCAGAAUGGUGGUAAUGGUGGUGGUAGCUUUCCAAGGCACGUGGGAUCCUUGGUCGUCUUGAAAAAAAUGUAGUGUUAUAAGCAUAGAACUUGGAGUCAGAGACCUACCUAAUGGCCGUGUGUUGCCACGCUCCAGCCACAGGGUCUUGCACACUCUCUUUUCUUCCCUUGGUCUCAGGCUUCAGUCUUUGAAUGGAAAAUGUGGCCAGUGAACCAGCUGGUCUUCAAGGCCCUAGAUCAGGGCUCAUUCCCUGGUUUGCUGAAGGAUUAUAUUCCAUCAGUGAUUCAUGGGGAGAUGGGGAAGGGUUAAAAUAAUUUCUCAGAGGCUUAUUCUUCGCACACUUCUUUUCAUCUUCUUUUUUUUUUUUUUAAUAAAUUUUUAUUUAUUUAUGAUAGUCACACAGAGAGAGAGAGAGAGAGAGAGAGAGAGGCAGAGACACAGGCAGAGGGAGAAGCAGGCUCCAUGUACCGGGAGCCCGACGUGGGAUUCGAUCUCGGGCCUCCAGGAUCGCGCCCUGGGCCAAAGGCAGAGCGCCAAACCGCUGUGCCACCCAGGGAUCCCUUCUUUUCAUCUUCUGAUAAGCAUAGCUGUUGUUUUCAUGGCCUGCCCGUGGGCUCUUGUGGGGCUGUUUAAACAGACUGUGCCUGAACACAAGACAGCAAAGGGUGUGCCAGGGGCCAGCACAGGAUUUGCUGGGCUCAAAUGGCCAACAUACUCUGAGAGCACAGCCUUAAGGCACAUGGACUUCAAACCAAGCGCAGGCACGAGGCACUCUAUUAUUCCACAGGAGGAAAACACGAUAUGGUGGCCAAGAAGUCACUGGGUGGUGGCAGAGUCUUUUUUUUUUUUGGAGAGGUGCACCACGACCCCAAUAAUCAACUCCUAAAUAUAGUGACAACAGCAGUGCCUAAAUAACCCUGCACACCCCCAGGUCCCCCGAGCCCAGCAGGGCGAUCAGCAAAAGAUUCCUGAAGCUAGAGAAGUCUCCACAGUGCUGAGCACCUUUUGGGUGCUGCAGGUGGUGACUGGUGCUACAGAAUUGGUGUCUGUGUGUCGCAUCUGUACCCUUUUCCCCCCUGAACAAGCUAAGCUGUGCCUCCUCUGGGGAAAGAAAUGUGAUUUCAUCCCAUUUCCCAGAGAAGAUCUGCCUGAGAUGAUUCCAUUGUGAGUGGAAAAGACAAGAUGCAUUGUUCAGUGGACAAUGCCAGAA